This 506-nucleotide ribosomal RNA is filed under the name uncultured Alphaproteobacteria bacterium. RNAcentral's name for it is "bacterial SSU rRNA". It matches the Rfam family "Bacterial small subunit ribosomal RNA", at positions 89 to 629 of the family's 1533-position model. The record is from RNAcentral. Lineage: Bacteria; Pseudomonadati; Pseudomonadota; Alphaproteobacteria.
GAUCUAGUGGCAGACGGGUGCGUAACGCGUGGGAACCUGCCCUUUAGUAAGGAAUAACUCAGGGAAACUUGUGCUAAUACCUUAUAAUCCCUUCGGGGGAAAGCUUUAUGCGCUAAUGGAUGGGCCCGCGUUAGAUUAGCUUGUUGGUGAGGUAAUGGCUCACCAAGGCGACGAUCUAUAGCUGGUCUGAGAGGAUGAUCAGCCACACUGGGACUGAGACACGGCCCAGACUCCUACGGGAGGCAGCAGUGGGGAAUAUUGGACAAUGGGGGAAACCCUGAUCCAGCGAUGCCGCGUGAGUGAUGAAGGCCUUAGGGUUGUAAAACUCUUUCGCUAGGGAAGAUAAUGACGGUACCUAGUAAAGAAGAUCCGGCUAACUCCGUGCCAGCAGCCGCGGUAAUACGGAGGGAUCUAGCGUUAUUCGGAAUAACUGGGCGUAAAGCGAGCGUAGGCGGAUUUGUAAGUUGGAGGUGAAAUCCCAGGGCUUAACCCUGGAACUGCCUUCA